RNAcentral lists this unclassified non-coding RNA (270 nucleotides) under Hevea brasiliensis (rubber tree). Lineage: Eukaryota; Viridiplantae; Streptophyta; Magnoliopsida; Malpighiales; Euphorbiaceae. The record is from RNAcentral.
GAAAAACGUGCAGAUCCAGAUCCUCUGCGUCGUCGUCGCCGCUUCUGUCUAAUCCGCCAAAAACUCAAAAGGAGCAAAAGCCCUGUUAAUGCAACUACAGCAGGAACAAGCCAAUGAUUAGGAACAAUCAAAGGCAUGUCAGGCUCAUCUCGGUAGAACAAACUUAAGUAUCGGUUUCCAUAUGUAUCUCUUCGGUUUUUUAACAUCAACUUUGGAGGUCCCCUCGAAGAACUCUCAGGAGUAGAAUUCAAGCCUCUUCCCAAGUCUAUU